This is a non-coding RNA of Cricetulus griseus (Chinese hamster), 130 nucleotides long. The record is from Rfam. NCBI's taxonomy places the organism in Eukaryota, Metazoa, Chordata, Mammalia, Rodentia, Cricetidae.
GUCUAUGGCCAUACCACCCUGAACAUGCCCGAUCUCCUCUGAUCUCAGAAACUAAGCAGGGUCGGGCCUGGUUAGUACUUGGAUGGGAGAAUACACAAUUCUUAAAAGAGUGAACAAGAUGCCCUUUUAC